GGGGGGGGGUUUACGGGGGGUGUUCAGGGGGCUGGACCCGGGCCACGGAUCUGCAGGGCAGCUGCGCCGUGUUUGCUGCUCACAGUCGUCGCCUCUUACGCACAGAACUGAAUCCCGCUGCAUCAACGCAAACACUCUUUGUGGCUUCGACCCAAAUCGCUCGUACUCACAACUCAAACGGUCUCCGCCCUGUCACGCAGGACUUGACAAGAGGCCGAAUGUCUCCUACAUAGUUUGACCUUCUGUCUUCCUGUCUGUGUGACUUGAGCCCUCUGAACAUCCCCCUGCAGACUGUAUAUUGUUGUGUUUAUCGGCCUCGUGCUUCACUGCAGCCGGCUGUUCGUAGUGUGAUUACAUGCAGCCGCGAGGAAGCAAAAAAGGUAAGACCAGCACUAAAUCUUCAAAUGCCGUCUGUCCCUGACAACCAAGGUCACCUGUGUGUGUAGGUGUGUGUGUGCCUGCCGUCACGUCGGGCCCUCAAUCCGACAGACUGAAAGAAAGGAAGAUGGGAAAAACAAGAAGAUGAACAGUAAAAGUAAGGACACACUAACACAAAAGGCUACAGUCAUAAACCUCACCAUCAACUCGGGAAUCGCAGGGUAACUCAAAAUGUGUAUCGCACAAUACGACACUGAUUUGAUAAGUUGACUAUGUCAAAAUGGUUUCAGUCAUCCACAAUGAAUCACAUCAUCUUUUUAAUUGAAAAAUACCCCUAAAGACCGAGCUGAGGUCCUGAGAGUUCAUACACAAAGUCAGCCCAAAGGAUGCAUAAGCCAUACUGUGUGUGUGUGUGUGUGUGUGUGUGUGUGUGUGUGUGUGUGUGUGUGUGUGUGUGUGUGUGUGUGUGUGUGUGUGUGUGUGGGAGGAAGACGGGUGAGUGUGAGCUGCAAUGUUAGCACGCCCUUGGUGCCCUCUCUCUAAUCAAUCUAAGAAGGAAGUGUUGGGUUAACCCCGCCCCCCUGCCAGGGCCUCAGGAAUUAAUAUUAAUCAAGCAUUGAUUAAGGCUUUAAGUGAACAGUCAUUAUUCACAACACCAUCCUCACAUCCCUCCUUUCUGUCUAAUCCUCCGUCCUGAACUCUUCCCUCCUCCCCCCUUUCCCUCCUUCCCUCCACGGAUACUCGAUACUCUCGUCCAGCACUUCCAACCGUUUACUUGUUUCACUCAUACUGUCUCUCGUCCUUCUUUUCACUCCAAACCAACGUUUCUUGGAUGAUAAUAGAAAGGCAUGAACCUCUCCCUCAACGCCCUUCCUUGAUGUACUCCAACACUACUUUCCUUCCAUUUACAUUCAUUAUUCUUCCCGCCCUGAGAUAAGGGAGAAGGAUGGAAGGAGCCGACAGAGGAAGCACAGAGGGAAGAAGACCAGGAGGGGAGGAGACGGCCAUCUGCCACAGAAGCAUCAGGGAACAAAAAUCAAAACUUUUCUUUGAGUCUCCAAAAAAUAAAAAGCAUGAACUACUUUUCUCCUCAGAAAAUGGUCAUUGAAAGCCACGAGAAGCAGAACAUGAGGAAUAGUUUGCGGAGACGAGCGGCAUCCCUCGCCGUGCUACUCGGAUCCAAUAGAAUCAGACGAUUCGAAAGAGCGGUUUUGAUUUAAAUUAAUUCUGUAAAUCUCUAGAGGGAAAUAAAAGCUUUGACUGAAGAUUUGACUUUUCAAACGAUGCACGUGUGAAGGACGGCAAAGCUUUUCAAAACAGUUAAUGUUCACACGCGCUGGACAUUUCUUUUUUGCAUCAACUUUGUCAAACUAUAAUUGGAAAAGUUAUCAAAAGUCUCCUGCUUGCAAAGCUUUGAAGAGCUGUCACAGUUUGUUGUUGUUGUCUCACGCUGUUGUUCGGUGGUGGUGGUUUUGGUUUGGAGACAUUUGUCAAUGGAAAAACUGUCACAAGCAUCUUCUGUAAAGUCAAAUACUGAAAUUAUUACAAACAGAAGACGUGGGGAGGCUUUUCUCUGCAAAGAAAGGCCCAUCGAGAGGCAUCUGUUAAAUGUGGCUGGGAGACCAUUCUUCUUCUGAAACUCAAUGUUCGACGGAUUCGAUUUGCCGGAUGCAGGUGCAAUUCAAGGAGUCACACAUCAACACAAAAGAAGAGAAAAGCAGUGCAGCACGUAGGAUAAACUACACAACAUUACAUCCGUAUUCAACUGAGGAAACUUACCUCAAAAAUCAUUUAGGUUCAACUUAUCGGUGCUUAUGAAUUACAAUCAACUACAAAAUCAUUGAAGUGAGUUCGUCCUUUUGAGUGCCGCUCAGUUGGUUAACAAUCAAUCAUCUAAAAAAUGGGUGUGUUAUGUGGUUGUGUUUUGCUGGGUGUGUUCUGGGGGUGUUUUGCUGGGUGUGUUAUGUUGGGUGUGUUGUGUUGGGUGUGUUAUGUUGGGUGUGUUGUGUUGGUUGUGUUACGUUGGGUGUGUUGUGUUGGGUGUGUUAUGUGGUUGUGUUGUGCUGGGUGUGUUGUGUUGGUUGUGUUAUGUUGGUUGUGUUGUGUUGCUUAUGUUGUGUUGGGUGUGUUACGUUGAGAGAUGUGUUGCGUUGGGUGUGUUGUGUUGGGGGUGUUAUGUGGUUGUGUCGUGUGGUUGUGUCGUGCUGGGUGUGUUGUGUGGUUGUGUUGUGUUGGUUAUGUUGUGCUGGGUGGGUUGUGCUGGGUGUGUUGUGUGGUUGUGUCGUGCUGGGUGUGUUGUGUUGGGUGUGUUGUGUUGGGUGUGUUGUGUUGGGUGUGUUGUGUUGGGUGUGUUGUGUGGUUGUGUAGUAUUUGUUGCUUCAUGUGAUUGAUGUGCAGUUCACAUACUGUUUGCGUUUAUUACUGCGCUGUAAUAAGGUCAAGUGUUGGAAGAGGUCAGAAGUUUCAAAGGUUAAAUGGACAAUCGGGGGUCAUGCAGCAUUUUUAUAGUUUUGCUCGUAACAGUUUUGUACAAAGUUGAAUGCUGAGAAAUGAAGUUAAUAUAAAUAAAGUGUUCAAAUUCCUUUUGCUAAAUGAAUAAUUCAACCAGACAACAAAGGUUCAUGUAAAUGACUCCAGCAGCACAAUACUUAUUUUCCUUCCCCCUCUGACUCCAUAGUGUCGGUACUCUCAGCCUGUGAAAUACUAAAAUUUGCCUUUCUGUGAUGGGGAACCCAAAACGGAGAAAAACUUUCCUUUGGGGGGGAAAUUAUUUUAUUGUUCGCUCACCUGUGGCACAAAAUACUUCUGGAUGUCUCCGCUUUGAUCUGGGUAUUCUAGAAAGGAUCCAACCAGGAGAGAAAUCAAAAACACUGGCGAGCGCAAAUCACUCAGGUGGAAAAAGGGUGAGAGAGAAGCAGCAACAAGAGGCACUUUCAUUCCUUAUAAAUCAGCCCAUUUUCACCUCUUGUCUUUUUCUUUAGUUUUCUUCAUUUUCAAACGCUUCUUGUCUCUGGUUUCCGCUCCGUGCUGCAGCAAAACAACAUCAGGCGAUUUAUAAGCAUGGCUGCCUCUCAUAAUGGAACCCGAGCCUCUCCAAAGGAGGAGCCUCUAACUUUACCACCACCAACACACACACACACACACACACACCCAACAUCAGUCAAAAGUGUGUAUACGAAUAACAAGUGGGCUGUUUUAUUCUUUAUACAUUCCAUCUGUUAUUCUACAUUUCUAAAAGGUUCAGUUUUUCAAGUUGAAAUGAUUCCAUUCUUAGAAGGGAUGUUGCUAAGCAACAACUUAAUUAGUCAAAUAACGUCAAAUGUAAAGUGCAGGUACGUGUCGCCGGCUGUAACAGAGCAGUAACACAACUUCGCCACUUAUUCAACAGGAAAUUACUCUUGACAAACAAAUUUAAAUCGGAGUGUAAAAAGUGAGAUAGAAGCGAUAGAAGAGAGAAAAAGAGAAAACAUUAAAUCUAGUCUGAAAAAGAUGAGAAAACAGGUGAAGUGAAGUGAAAGAACGAACGAGUGCACACACGGAAGAGAAGAGGGAAGCGCCGCCUCGAAUAAAUUCAGAGGUAAAUCAGUUCCAUGUGGUUGCUCCCAGGGGCGGCACGGUGGCGUGGUGGUUAGCACCGUUGCCUCACAGCAAGAAGGUCCUGGGUUCGAUUCCACCCAGUGGCCUUUCUGUGUGGAGUCUGCAUGUUCUCCCCGUGUCUGCGUGGGUUCUCUCCGGGUUCUCCGGCUUCCUCCCACAGUCCAAAGACAUGCUCUGGGGAUCAGGUUAAUUGGUGACUCUAAAUUGCCCGUAGAUGUGUGAAUGUGAGUGUGAAUGGUUGUGUGUCUCCGUGUAGCCCUGCGAUUGACUGGCGACCAAUCCAGGAUGUACCCUGUCUAUCGCCCGAAGUUGGCUGGGAUGGACUCCAGCCCCCCCGCGACCCUGUGUGCAGGAUAAGCGGUUUGACAAUGGAUGGAUGGAUGGUGGUUGCUCCCUGAAAAGUAGUUUGGCUGCCAGGAGACGGAUGGUGUCCCAGGACCGAACCCAGCACCACCCCAAUUACCGGGCCGUAAUACUUCCAUCGCUGUUUCUGGGCCGGUUUUGGAAGAGGAAAGUAGAGGCAGAUGGACGAACACAGGAAUGAAAAGAUGGAUCCCAAAAUCCUCAGAACCUCAACGUGAAAUACGAGCACACGACUCGCAAGGCUUUUAAUACGCUUGUGCAUUAGAAACACGAAGCUGUCCUAAUGAAACUGAAUCCACGUGUAGCUUCAUUUCAGUUAUACUGAAGACGUCUGUCCGUUGGAAAACGACCGUCCUCGCUUCAUUCAUUCUCUCAGUAAACACUGUAGAGUGAGUUUAUGGUCUCAAUAAAGUCUCUUUCAGUGUCCUUGGUGUCUCUCCACCGGUCACCGAAUCAGUGCGUGACGUCACAAUGAAUAUCGUACAGAGUCAGUGGAGAGCGACUUCCCUUUAGACCAGCAGAGACGUUGCGUCUUCGCUUAUGGCUGACGGAUGAGCAAACGAAGAGAGAGAGAGAGAGAGAGGGACACUAAGGGAAGGCAAACUUACCCAGAACACGGGGGAAUCGCUUGUCUUUGUUGCGGCUGCUGGACGCUGGAUGAUUCGGGUCCCCCGGGGAGGUCGGGAUGACUUAAAUGUGGACGAGGCGUAUACGCUAUGGAGGCACACAGCAGACCUGGAAGGGAGGUGAGAGGGAAACAGCAAGCGUAGCAAAGAAAAGUCAUUUUAACCAAGAGGGGUCAUGUAGCGAUGCACACACACACACACACACACACACACACACACACACACACAGAGAUAUGUGGCUCAUGCUGGGAUGUCAUUUUUUCUGGCUAUUUAUAGGGCCACCAGAGAUAUACAGGUACAUGCACACAAACAAACACACACGCACAUAAACUGGUGUGAAGACAUUUGUGCAUGCAUGCACAUGCUAAAGAAGCGGCCAUACAUCACCCAGGCCGGGAGGCAGGAGUGGGAGGAAGGGGAGGAAUGAGACGCGAGAUGCAGGAAAUGGAUGCAGCCGGGGCGGCGAGGAGGCCGACCGAGACCACGCGCCACGCGGCAUGUGGAUACUCGGCCAGCACCUCCUCUUGGUCCCAUUUUGCAUUUCACAAACAACCCGUAGACGGUCUACGCGCUGGACCUCACCACCUUUUCUAGGUUCCCUGUUCACGAAGCGGCGAAUCACGGAUGCUCCGUUUGGAAACACAAAUACGGGCAGAAUUUACAUCUACGCUCUCUAAUCACGGAGCCUUCGGGGCAUUCGCAUUGAAGUCGGGGGAAAUGACGGACUUGAGCCCGAGUGUGCUCGUGUCAAAAUGACACGCGGGCUCGCGGGUCGGCGCUCGAGGUUGAAUCGAGCUUUUUCGUCUUUUCUUUUGUGUCGCUGUCACUCAACCCGCUCCGUCGCUGUGCCUCUGAAUCACUUCCCAGGCAGCAGCUCACCUUCAAUUACAGUUUGAGCGCGCACCCAUUUGUCACCGCCUUUUAAAAAAAAAAAAAAAAAAGGAAGCAAAGCCUCAGAAAGGGGUCAGCGGGCAGAGGGGAAGUCUGAGUCCACUCUGCAGGAGGACUGUCCUGCCGUCUGCGACUCGUCUGACCUCAGGCCUGCAGGUGGGCAGUCGUGAUGUCGCCCUCACUCGGACCCUCAGAAACUCCACUCGUGGAUCCGGAUCUUGUGCCAACUGAAGGGAUGAUCGACUUUUGUUUUUUUCCGAACAUCAAUAUUAGGGGGAUUGAACUUCCCCCGAGGACGACGAUUUGUUCACACCCGUGUAAUGUAAAUUCACUCAACUUCAUCCCCACCGGUGGCAAAAACCCCGAAGGCUGCGUUACUCCGUUGGACUGUCGGCGAUCACAAGUCACGCAGGGCAACGCACAAAUAAAGACAAUCGCUGAACCCCCACAGCACGGGUCCUUCUUUAUUAGCCCCUUUAACGCUUUCCUGUAAAAAAAAACUACCUCACUUAAAAUGCGCAUGUGUCUUCUUCGUCAUACGACCUAUGAUGUGUGAUAAAAAUUACCUUGACAUGUUAUGGCCUGCAGAGCAGGUUUAUUUAUAGACAAAUAAUUGUUACAAAUAAAAGUGACUGUAAAACACGUUGAUUUUUGUUUUACAUUAUGCACAUUUUGACAUUUUGGUUGAAUUCUAAUCAACAUGAGCAUGUUUCUGAUGCAUAAAUGCUGCUAUAGGUUUAGCAUAAUUUAAGUUUGUUGGAUUAAAAUAAUGUUUUUAGAUAUUCACAGAUUAAACGUAUUGUCAUUUUUAUCAUUCCUAUUCUUCCCCUUUUAUUCUAUGUUGCUGCAGCUUUCUUUUGUGUUUCGACAUUCCAGGUUUGCAGAAGUCAUUAUAUUGGUAAGAGUGGAAUGCAUGUGGAGCCAUUCAGGGUCACAACAUCAAACGCCGACACACAAACGCUCAUGAUGCACACAUGCGCAUGCAUUGUUCUCACACAGCGUAUUAACAUAAUAAUAAUAUGUUGAACGUGUGAGCCAGGCAGAGCGCUGCACACUUGGGCCGGUUGGGACGGACGAUGCAGUCGGGCGGGUUGAACGGACACUCUGCUGGUGUGAGAAAAGUCGAUGAUGAGAAAAGUCAGAGACCCUGGUGGUUUCGUGUAGAAAUAAUAACGCAAUGCAUCUCGCGCUCUGACCCCGUCCUGAUUUUGACUAUUUCUGUGUCCACGGCGUGAACUCGUGGAUUUAAUUGCAGAGAAACAGCCACCGAACCGCGUGAGUUUAACGAGAUUUCAUUUUUUUUUUCUGUGUUUGAAUACAUUUAAUUUUGUGUUUGUGAGUCUGCUGUCAUGGUUUCCUCAUCGCGUGUGUGUCCUCUAUAAAUGUGUGUAUUCCAGAUGUAAUGAGCCCAUUAUUUGCUCCACCAUUAACACAGAAUAUAUAUUUGUUGACAACAGCGAAUAAUGCAACCAUUAACAUCACGAUCUGUGAACAUGCUAAGAGGCGUUUAUUUAUGAGUGUGUGUGUGUGUGUGUGUGGGUUGGGGGGGGGCGUUUGUGUAGUGCAUAUCACCUAUUAGCCUGUCAGGCUGUGGAUAACAAAACACCUCGGGAAGGUCACACAGGGAUUAAUGGGCCAUGGAUUACACCUGUCAGUGUGUUGGUGCGCGCGUUUGAGCGUAAGCCGUCGUUAUACACCGACACACAGUCCGUCUCACUCACAUUUACGGCGCAUCGCCGCGGAUCCGUGGCCCUAACCUUUCUGAGUCGACUAUUACGUCGUCAAGGCGCUGGGACGUGACACCGUUUGUUUUUCGUCUUUUACAGGCGGGCGUUGAUCCCCUGCAGUUACCCCAACCUAAAGCUGCCCUUACCUCGGGACGCACGCCUGUCGCUGUAUCGGGGGGCUCCUGCAGGUUGAUCGCUGUGCACGAGCACCCGCCACCAGCUGCAACCAUUAAACCGAUGCAUCAGCAGGUGAAACCCGUCGUUCAUAGAAUUGUAUACAAGCGGGCGCUCUGUGCAUUUGGGCCUCGCCUGUUCAAAGCUCGACUAAUGCUCUCCGACCACAUCGGAGGCCUCGCUGGCACGCUGUGUCCCUCGGCGGGCUCCCAUCACGUGGACGGUGCAUUCAGCCAAUGACCUCACUCUCGCUCACAAACACACACUCCAUCACUUUUUUUUUUUAACUACACACACUCGCAGUCAUAAAUUACGCACCUUCAGCGGAACACACAUUGCUCUCUCACCCGCGGAUGAAAAAGCUCAAACUCGGAACUUACUGUUCGAUAUAUCUCUCUUCUGCACUUCUUAUUCACCUCUGUGUCUUUCCAUUUCUCUCACUCUUUCAGGCGCACACACACACACACACACACACACACACGGAAGCUCUCGGCAUGCAUAGCGGCAGUCAUUUUUCUUGUUAAUGUACCGUGUCGAAUCUGCAGGGCGGCGGCGUGCAAAUGAAAGGUUGCACGUCUCACUCGCUUGGCAAUAUGUAUUUGAUAAGAGCUGUAAAUCAACCCGUGUGGCGGCGCAAAGCCCGCAGGGACGGACAAAACACGCGUUAAUGGAAGGCAGCUCUAAAGCGGCACAAGGCGGUGUGCGCGAUGCCGAAACGUCCGACGGCGCCGAGGGUCAGAGGGAGAGAACGGCCUGCGCGAGUGGAGGAAGGAAGGAGGAGAAAAAGGGCUUCGACUACCGGGAAAAUAACUGCAGGAAACACGCUCGUUACUCAGAGCGGCGCUAAAGGCCUCUGGGCGCGUUCGACCGGCGCCGACGGGAUGUAAACGUGGAGAAAAGCCACGUUUAGAUUUGCCGGGCCGGCGGUCUCUGCUGCACCGCCGCUCAGCGCGCACAGGCAAAUCAAAGUAGUUCUUCUCGUCCAACUGUCCAGUGCAGUUUGACGCAUAUCCCAAAAUGCCCCGGCAUCGACACUCCUAAUGGCCCCAUGAGUGCGAUUGAUAGCGGUUGAUAGCGUCGUUGGCAUCCUAGAUACGCUAAGUAAAUAUUCCCUUAGCUUAAGAAAGGUCAUUUAAUUGAAUUCUAAAACACAAACAUUUCAAUCCUGCUCUGAAUUGAUACGUUACGUUUUAAGUAAUCCGACCUUUGAAGAUGAUCGCUCGCCACAGGCGCCUUUCGUACUCAUAUAUAACAUAUUACACCCAACAAUUAAUAAAAAUCAACCCUUCUGCCUUCUUUCUGUUUCUCAAAUCUCUCCCUACAACCUGCAGCCUGAGCGUCUGUCACCGGGGACUCGCAUGGGAGCGGCGCCGCCGCGUGCGGAGAGCUGUGUUUGUGUUGCGUUAAUCGACCCGUCAUUGCUACGUCCAAGCCUUGUUAGAUGAACACACUUAUCCACUGGCGCCAUGCGUUCAUCUGCAUGUUUGGCCAGGGGGAAUACAGGGUGAGUGUUAAACAGUUGGUGACUUUCCUUGCAUAUUUGUGUGUGUGUGUGUGUGUGUGUGUGUGUGUGUGUGUGUGUGAGCUUUGUGAGCAUAAAUGAAAAUGUGGAGAUGGUGUAUUUACCGUAAUGGAAAAAAGCACCGGUCUAAUUGGACAAGGUGAAGGUAAAACUGCGCUCCCUUUAAAAUGACUCCAAAAAAAACAGAUACUGUAAAAAUACACUCUCUAAAACACACACACACACACACACACACAAACAAACGCGUACAAAUGCUUAGAUGGCAACAUGCAAGUACAUGGACACCGAUUUUUUUGCGUAAUAUGAUCGACUUUGACCAAAGAACUUACUGUUGCUUCCUUUAACUUUACAUUUUAACAAUGUGGUCCUCAUAAGGGUGGAAAAGCGAGUGUGCAUGCAAACACACAGACUCGGGUGCAUCUGGGCAUUAUCAGAGUGCUAUGUGAUGGAGGAAAAUGGGGUUUAUUUGCCAAAAUGGCCUGAGAGGCUUUGCGUGACCCGUAUUGCUCAUAACUGUACUCUGUGCUCAUAAAGAGUAAUGAGGGCCACAUCUGGACUGCAGCUUUUGUUUUUCCUCAUGAGUCUGGCUGUUGUCCAUGCGGCUGGAAUCUCACUGGGGCGUGAAAUACACUUCAGUGCAGCGUCUUUGUGUCUCUUUCUGUUCGAGAGCCAUACAAGCUGGUUGGGAAAUUAUACACAAUAAGUCGUCUCCUUUUGACCAUGAAACAUUUGAAAACGUAAACUCUCCAAAUGUGUUUACUUCCUGCUGCUGGAUACGUGAAAAAGAGACGGCUCAUUGCAUCACAAUGACGCCAAUCUGGUGC
Gasterosteus aculeatus aculeatus (three-spined stickleback) is the source of this 10102-nucleotide long non-coding RNA. The record is from Ensembl. Lineage: Eukaryota; Metazoa; Chordata; Actinopteri; Perciformes; Gasterosteidae.